GAAAAUGACACUUUUAAAUGUCGGGGAGUUGUAUUAAGCGACCCGGGGAUUUGGUUGUGGGGACCAUGUGGGGGCACCACUUAAAGAAAUGUGCUCCGUUCUGGCGUGUUCACUGUGAGCGAGGCUCACCGGUGACGCCUGAGGAGCCGAGGCGCUGUUGUCAAUGUUCAUUCUCCCUGGUGGGUCAAGGCAGCUAGAAACGCUAAAAAGGCCCAAGCCUAGCUGUGAUACGUUAUGUGUUCAUCGUGGUCAGGGCAAGACAGAUUAGAAAAGGUAGCCUGAUGGACCAGUUUCUGAAGUCAGUGCACUGUGGUGAUUCAGGAUGAAUCUAUUUUAAUACAUCGUAGAUGGUCACCACUUAAACGUCAAAGGAAAACAGCCCACCUAUUUCACAUGGGUCUUGGAAUCAGAACAGGGUCCUUGUGAGGAUUAAAGAGCAUGUCUGUACAUUCUCUGCCAACCAACACGCUCUGGUCUUGUUCAGGUAUCUAUGCUCCUGCACUUGGUCAUGUUCGUGUAUGGAUGCCAGUUACUUCCUAAGCUCCUAAAGGUGAAUCCUGAUUAAUUUAAGCCAAUCAAGGAAACUAGAAAGAACGUGCUUCUCCAAAAUGAGGGAAUAAACCAAAAAGAGAAAGACAUGGGAUCCAGUACACAAGAACCUCCCUUCUGAGAGGAAGACAGUAGACAAGACCAGACCUCUAUCACGAGGGGAAGACAGUUUAUUGUUGCUGAUGUAGAGGAAUGAAACUAAUUUGUGUAUGCUGUGCUGGUAUGAGAAACAUUAUUCAAUUCUCUUAUUAGUUCUGCUUUUUUUUUUUCUUUCCUAAUACCAUUGGCCAAGACCACUAAUGCUACACUAAAAAUCACCAGUAGGGGCGCCUGGGUGGCUCAGUUGGUUAAGCGACUGCCUUCGGCUCAGGUCAUGAUCCUGGAGUCCCUG
Molecule: non-coding RNA, 940 nt
Organism: Leptonychotes weddellii (Weddell seal)
Lineage: Eukaryota; Metazoa; Chordata; Mammalia; Carnivora; Phocidae
Source: RefSeq, a predicted model, not a curated record